UUAUAUUCUGUAGCAAGGUUAACCGAAUAGGGGAGCCGAAGGGAAACCGAGUCUUAACUGGGCGUUAAGUUGCAGGGUAUAGACCCGAAACCCGGUGAUCUAGCCAUGGGCAGGUUGAAGGUUGGGUAACACUAACUGGAGGACCGAACCGACUAAUGUUGAAAAAUUAGCGGAUGACUUGUGGCUGGGGGUGAAAGGCCAAUCAAACCGGGAGAUAGCUGGUUCUCCCCGAAAGCUAUUUAGGUAGCGCCUCGUGAAUUCAUCUCCGGGGGUAGAGCACUGUUUCGGCAAGGGGGUCAUCCCGACUUACCAACCCGAUGCAAACUGCGAAUACCGGAGAAUGUUAUCACGGGAGACACACGGCGGGUGCUAACGUCCGUCGUGAAGAGGGAAACAACCCAGACCGCCAGCUAAGGUCCCAAAGUCAUGGUUAAGUGGGAAACGAUGUGGGAAGGCCCAGACAGCCAGGAUGUUGGCUUAGAAGCAGCCAUCAUUUAAAGAAAGCGUAAUAGCUCACUGGUCGAGUCGGCCUGCGCGGAAGAUGUAACGGGGCUAAACCAUGCACCGAAGCUGCGGCAGCGACGCUGAUGCGUUGUUGGGUAGGGGAGCGUUCUGUAAGCCUGUGAAGGUGUGCUGUGAGGCAUGCUGGAGGUAUCAGAAGUGCGAAUGCUGACAUAAGUAACGAUAAAGCGGGUGAAAAGCCCGCUCGCCGGAAGACCAAGGGUUCCUGUCCAACGUUAAUCGGGGCAGGGUGAGUCGACCCCUAAGGCGAGGCCGAAAGGCGUAGUCGAUGGGAAACAGGUUAAUAUUCCUGUACUUGGUGUUACUGCGAAGGGGGGACGGAGAAGGCUAUGUUGGCCGGGCGACGGUUGUCCCGGUUUAAGCGUGUAGGCUGGUUUUCCAGGCAAAUCCGGAAAAUCAAGGCUGAGGCGUGAUGACGAGGCACUACGGUGCUGAAGCAACAAAUGCCCUGCUUCCAGGAAAAGCCUCUAAGCAUCAGGUAACAUCAAAUCGUACCCCAAACCGACACAGGUGGUCAGGUAGAGAAUACCAAGGCGCUUGAGAGAACUCGGGUGAAGGAACUAGGCAAAAUGGUGCCGUAACUUCGGGAGAAGGCACGCUGAUAUGUAGGUGAAGUCCCUCGCGGAUGGAGCUGAAAUCAGUCGAAGAUACCAGCUGGCUGCAACUGUUUAUUAAAAACACAGCACUGUGCAAACACGAAAGUGGACGUAUACGGUGUGACGCCUGCCCGGUGCCGGAAGGUUAAUUGAUGGGGUCAGCGCAAGCGAAGCUCUUGAUCGAAGCCCCGGUAAACGGCGGCCGUAACUAUAACGGUCCUAAGGUAGCGAAAUUCCUUGUCGGGUAAGUUCCGACCUGCACGAAUGGCGUAAUGAUGGCCAGGCUGUCUCCACCCGAGACUCAGUGAAAUUGAACUCGCUGUGAAGAUGCAGUGUACCCGCGGCAAGACGGAAAGACCCCGUGAACCUUUACUAUAGCUUGACACUGAACAUUGAGCCUUGAUGUGUAGGAUAGGUGGGAGGCUUAGAAGUGUGGACGCCAGUCUGCAUGGAGCCGACCUUGAAAUACCACCCUUUAAUGUUUGAUGUUCUAACGUUGACCCGUAAUCCGGGUUGCGGACAGUGUCUGGUGGGUAGUUUGACUGGGGCGGUCUCCUCCUAAAGAGUAACGGAGGAGCACGAAGGUUGGCUAAUCCUGGUCGGACAUCAGGAGGUUAGUGCAAUGGCAUAAGCCAGCUUGACUGCGAGCGUGACGGCGCGAGCAGGUGCGAAAGCAGGUCAUAGUGAUCCGGUGGUUCUGAAUGGAAGGGCCAUCGCUCAACGGAUAAAAGGUACUCCGGGGAUAACAGGCUGAUACCGCCCAAGAGUUCAUAUCGACGGCGGUGUUUGGCACCUCGAUGUCGGCUCAUCACAUCCUGGGGCUGAAGUAGGUCCCAAGGGUAUGGCUGUUCGCCAUUUAAAGUGGUACGCGAGCUGGGUUUAGAACGUCGUGAGACAGUUCGGUCCCUAUCUGCCGUGGGCGCUGGAGAACUGAGGGGGGCUGCUCCUAGUACGAGAGGACCGGAGUGGACGCAUCACUGGUGUUCGGGUUGUCAUGCCAAUGGCACUGCCCGGUAGCUAAAUGCGGAAGAGAUAAGUGCUGAAAGCAUCUAAGCACGAAACUUGCC
RNAcentral lists this ribosomal RNA (2185 nucleotides) under Escherichia coli. RNAcentral's name for it is "partial 23S ribosomal RNA". It matches the Rfam family "Bacterial large subunit ribosomal RNA", at positions 628 to 2798 of the family's 2925-position model. The record is from RNAcentral. Lineage: Bacteria; Pseudomonadati; Pseudomonadota; Gammaproteobacteria; Enterobacterales; Enterobacteriaceae.